UCUGAGGCAGCAACGCCGCGUGAGCGAUGAAGCGCCUUCGGGUUGUAAAGCUCUUUUCUGGGGGAGGAGGAAGGACGGUACCUCAGGAAUAAGUCACGGCUAAUUACGUGCCAGCAGCCGCGGUAAUACGUAGGUGGCGAGCGUUAUCCGGAUUUACUGGGCGUAAAGCGCGUGUAGGCGGUUUCGUAAGUCGGAUGUGAAAGCUCCUGGCUCAACUGGGAGAGGCCAUUCGAUACUGCGGGACUUGAGGUCGGGAGAGGGACGUGGAAUUCCCGGUGUAGUGGUGGAAUGCGUAGAUAUCGGGAGGAACACCAGUGGCGAAGGCGACGUCCUGGCCCGCACCUGACGCUAACACGCGAAAGCGUGGGUAGCGAACGGGAUUAGAUACCCCGGUAGUCCACGCUGUAAACGGUYMWUGCUAGGUGUUGGUGGCUAUCSUCAUCAGUGCCGUAGCUAACGCGUUAAGU
RNAcentral lists this ribosomal RNA (467 nucleotides) under uncultured bacterium. RNAcentral's name for it is "bacterial SSU rRNA". It matches the Rfam family "Bacterial small subunit ribosomal RNA", at positions 382 to 865 of the family's 1533-position model. The record is from RNAcentral.